Talpa occidentalis (Iberian mole) is the source of this 1415-nucleotide long non-coding RNA. RefSeq lists it as uncharacterized. Lineage: Eukaryota; Metazoa; Chordata; Mammalia; Eulipotyphla; Talpidae. The transcript has 3 exons. The record is from RefSeq and is a predicted model, not a curated record.
UGCAGGUGUACAGCCACUUCCCCAGCUGGCCCUGCACCCUGGCUGCUUCUGUUCUCUGUUGAACGCGCACGAUCUGGGGUUCCUGCCCCUUCCUGAGGUAGGACACGUGUUUGACAAGAUGUAUUUGAGCAGCAUGUUCCAAGGACAUUCUCCCGGACUGGGGGAGGUGGAAUGUCUUUGUUCCUGAAAAUUAAGAAAUAAUGCCGCUCUAACUUGGCAGGAGGAGGCAGAGGGCAGCGACCAAGGACGAGGGGAUCAAGACUUAUGUUGCAAAGCGAAGACAUGCAUACGAUGCCUCAGCAAUCACAUGCAAGAAAAGUCUCUACCAAAUCCCAGACAAGGGCCAUAUGCCUGUGAGUUGCUGCCCAGGAACAUGGGCUAAAAUGAGAUUUUUCUCACCCUUACUCCCAAGUCCUGCAACAUUUUCUAAAUAUACCUAACUCCAUAGCACAAGUGAGUGCUAAUCUUAGCCUCUACGAAGUGAUGAACGUGGAUAUCCAGCAUCUCUUCUUUAGCAAUUCGUAAUUCCCAGGUACAAAUAAAUCUGUGACCAACAAAACUGUCCUUAUGUUUUCCCGGUGAUCCUUCAGGAAUCCGUGUAUUUUAAAAUCCAGGUCUUGCUUCUGCAUAACUAUCCACAGAUAAUUUGUGGUUUGACUGUGGAGGGUUCUGUGUAAUAUCCAAAGGUUCCAAGAAGUUAUUUUUUCUGCACCCAUGAAAAGUUAGGUGGCAAAACAAAGCCCACCAGGAGACUGAAGCCGGCUGCCAGCCAACUGAAAUCAGCCACUGCCUGGGGCUCAGAGCCCUCCUCAUCAACCUAACCUCACCUGCUCCACUCCCUGGACUGGUCUUAGAUUUUCCAUCUGGAAUCGCUGUCUUCCUGCCUAAAGCAAGUACAUCCUUUGCAAUGUUCUAUGGGCUGUCUUCUCACUUGUGACAGACUAAGGCUCCCACUGACAUCACUGAUGACAGAUAGCCCCUGACACAAAAAGCCACGUAAUUUGUUUUCCUAAGUCUUGCAUGAAGACAUCUGAGGAGACCACAGGGGUGAAGACUCUGGAGAGACACACUGGUUAGAAGUUUAUUAUCACAAAGACAAGGAAAACAGGGAUGAGGGAGAAAGAUUCCUAAAAAUUAUUAGAGUAGUAUCAUAUGAUGCAACAAUUCCACUUCUGGGCUAUUUAUCCAAGAGAUAUGAACACAUGAAUGUGUAAAGAGAUAGCACCCCUAUAUUCAUCGCAGUACUAUUCACCACUGCCGAGAUAAGGAAAUAAACUAAGUGCCCACUGAGGGAUGAGCAGAUGAAGAGGCACAGAUACAACUAUGAGAAGAGAUGACGUGCUGGUAUUUGCAGCAAUAUUGAUGAACCGAGACGGGGUUAUGCUUAGUGAGACAAGUGAGACAGUAAAACAAAA